UGUGUUUGUCUAGUAGAGAAGUAAAAUCAAGUUGCGUUGUGUAACAUUUUUCAUUCUAAACACAAGUAUAAUUAAUUCGGUUCGCUCGGUAGGAUUUUGGGUUUUCGACACGGUUCCGACAUUUUAAGAACCACGAGUAACGAUUCGGUUCACGAAUUCCAAGAAACCAGACCUUAUGAUGUCCUACUAUGGCCAUAUUUGCUUGCACUUACAAUCUAACUUAUUUUGCUUAUUUACCUAAAAAAAGUUAUUUAAGGGUGUUUUAUCCAAUUAUGAAUAAUCACUUAUUUGGCUUUACUAGCUUAUUUGAUCCAAAAAUAAAUAAAAAUUGAUUAUUUCAAACUCCAAUUUGAAGCUUUUUUUAUGUACUUAUUUUAAGUUGUUAGAACAUGAAUGAACAAAAGAUUAUCCGUCAUUGUUAGAAUAAUCCGUCGUUUUACCUUAUCCCCUCACCAAUAUUCCCUCCAAAUUUUUUGACCACUAACAAACUAGCUGUUAGAGUUAAACCAAUAAAUGACCUCCCAUGCGGAGGCCAAAACAAGAAAAAUAAGUGGAAUCUCAAUUCAGAAAUAAAUUUCCCUAUACCAAUUUGUUUCUCUUGCAGGUAUUGGAAUAUUGGUGAAUUUGGGUAAUUUGGAAGAGCUUGAGCUUGGUGAUAAUUAUCUUCAUAAAUAGCAUUCUACCGUCUUUGAAUAAGCUUUCAAACCUGAAGAUUCUAAAUUUGGCCUCGAACGUAUUGAAUGGGUCAAUUUCUGCUAAAGGCAAGUUUGAAAUAUAUAUAUCAAUUUUGUCAAACGGAAAACCAUAAGUCAGAACAUAAUCUCUUUUUUCUUUUUUUCCCUGAAAAAUGCUUGGCACAGAAAUUCAGACACAAAUGUAAUUGCAGCUGUCCGAUACUUGUCUCCCAUGCAUCAAAUUGCUCAAAACACACAUGUAUCUGGAUAUGCAUCCAAACAUAUUAAUUUGUCCGUUGUACCACGGCUCUUUUUUUCUUCAUUCAUAGUAAUUUUUUGCAUGUUGUCCAUUUUCACGUGUUCCGUGGUUUGUUUCACAUUUCUUUACCACAGAAUUUGGUAGCUUGAACAACUUGAAGGAGCUGGACUUGAGCUCAAACCGGGUUGUCAGUAUCACAACGAUCGACGGUUCAUAAGAAGAAUCAGGAAUAUUGAACAAGUUAGAGGUCCUUUAUCUAAGUUAUAAUUUAUUUGAUGACACUAUUUGGUCUGGGAGAGCUUUCAUCAAUCAAGACACUGGAUUUGAGUG
Molecule: RNA transcript, 1263 nt
Organism: Rhododendron vialii
Lineage: Eukaryota; Viridiplantae; Streptophyta; Magnoliopsida; Ericales; Ericaceae
Gene name: receptor like protein 21-like
Exons: 2
Source: RefSeq, a predicted model, not a curated record